CCUUCCAUAAGAAAACAGAGGAGAAACAGAACAUCUACUUAACUGGAACAAUUUCACCUGACUGAUUCAGAGCAAUUCAUUUCAAUUACUCUGAUCAACAGAUAAAUAGCACAUCUGGUAGUGUCUGCAAACUAAUCAUUUAACAGGGCAAUGCAAGUUUGGAAUUAAAGAGAUGUUAAUUGACUACUGCUGGUUUGAUUUCUUUUGACUAUGAAAAUGAAUACAGAAAACCUCAAAUGGACAAGCAAAGGCAGUUCACGGAUCAACAUUAGGGAGAAGAAUAGAAGAACUAGAAGACAAAAAGUCGACAGCAACAAUAAAGAUCCCAAUAGUGGAAGAACGAAAUAGAGCAUGCGUAUGAGGAAAAGCACAUUGUGCACUGCAAGGAGGAGAAGCAGUAAUGGGUGUGAAACUACACGAUCUAAUCUGCUGACUGCACAUUUUCAAACGCCACAGUCUCAUUUAUGUUGAAUUAAAAGCAAAAUAGAAACUCUUCCUGUUCCUGCAAAUCCCAUCCUAUCAGCUUCUAUCUAGAUUUGCUUGAGGGGUUGUCAAAAUAAAUAAUAACAAUAAUAAAU
RNAcentral lists this long non-coding RNA (578 nucleotides) under Numida meleagris (helmeted guineafowl). RNAcentral describes it as "lncRNA (ENSNMEG00000006584.1)". Lineage: Eukaryota; Metazoa; Chordata; Aves; Galliformes; Numididae. The record is from RNAcentral.